RNAcentral lists this ribosomal RNA (347 nucleotides) under uncultured Helicobacter sp. Its description in RNAcentral is "bacterial SSU rRNA". It matches the Rfam family "Bacterial small subunit ribosomal RNA", at positions 278 to 643 of the family's 1533-position model. Lineage: Bacteria; Pseudomonadati; Campylobacterota; Epsilonproteobacteria; Campylobacterales; Helicobacteraceae. The record is from RNAcentral.
GACGGGUAUCGGCCUGAGAGGGUGAACGGACACACUGGAACUGAGACACGGUCCAGACUCCUACGGGAGGCAGCAGUAGGGAAUAUUGCUCAAUGGGGGAAACCCUGAAGCAGCAACGCCGUGUGGAGGAUGAAGGUUUUAGGAUUGUAAACUCCUUUUGUUAGAGAAGAUUAUGACGGUAUCUAACGAAUAAGCACCGGCUAACUCCGUGCCAGCAGCCGCGGUAAUACGGAGGGUGCAAGCGUUACUCGGAAUCACUGGGCGUAAAGAGUGCGCAGGCGGGAUAGCAAGUCAGAUGUGAAAUGCUAUGGCUUAACCAUAGAACUGCAUUUGAAACUGUUAUUCUA